This 1063-nucleotide long non-coding RNA is filed under the name Chrysolophus pictus (golden pheasant). RNAcentral's name for it is "lncRNA (ENSCPIG00010014580.1)". The record is from RNAcentral. Lineage: Eukaryota; Metazoa; Chordata; Aves; Galliformes; Phasianidae.
CGGCUCGGCCCCCGCGCCGGAGCGGCCCCUUCGGCCCAAUGAGUCUUCUGAGGACACUGCCGCGAAGUGCCGGGGAGGGUUGGAGGGAGCCUCGCGGGGGCGGGCGCUGCGGCUCGGCCUGUCUCCUCGACCAAUCGGCGCCGAGAACCGCUUUUAAGGACGGCCCGGCGUUGUCCAAUCGGCAAAUGACCGAGAGAAAAGCACCGAGCUCUCCUGGCAUGAAAGCAGACCCUCCUGCAGACUGUCCUUUGCCUCGAUGGAAAAACAUCUGCAAGUUUUUAUCCCUAGCUGAUGCCAUUCGUACGCGUGUUUGUAAGCUGCACCUCUUCCUGACACCCCACACAGUGCUACCAAGCACCACUUUCCCAAGAAAUGUGAAAACUCAGCUGUCUUCAUUAAUAGGAGCACUUCUCCAACACCUCAUUGCCUGUUUUACGAGCGUUCCUGGUCUGUGUAGCCAGCUGUCACCCAACCACAGCCACAUCUUCUUUUCCUGCUUAGGAGAGAAGCAGCAGAGCUGGGAUGCUGGCAUAGAUGGGAUAAAUAGCAACAAGGAACACAGCACAUCUCCUCUAUUGGAUGCCACACAUUAAAUACUCCUAGCCGUGAUGCUUUGGUGUGGUCCGUGAGGACAAGAUGGAGUUUCAGGGAAUAACAAAUGAGAAGAUUUCAUGCAUAGAAGUUCAAGAAAGCCACAAGCUGCAGGUGGACAAGCAUGCUAAAUUCAAGAGUGACUCAUAUGCUGUGUGAUGUUUGUUGGGCUCAAGCUGCAGGUCCCUCAAAAGCAGGGUUUUAUCGCAUAGAAAUGAGCAGGCUUUUAUUGUGAGCUGCGACCACCAAUUCCUUACACGUUAGUGCUGGCAGAAAGUGGGUUAGAAAUGAAAGGAACAAUUUUAGACAUAUGGUGAUCUGGCAAAGCGCUCUGAAAUUUUAAUUAUGCUGUGGAAAGGUCAGGGCUGGAUCUGUGCUGGUGGAGGGAUAAUUUGCUUUUGUAGUUUGCGAACGUGCCUUUCCAAAAUGAAAGGACUGAGAGCUGAAAAAUAAAGCGAACUUCUCCUGUGCA